UACGUAGGGUGCGAGCGUUGUCCGGAAUUAUUGGGCGUAAAGAGCUCGUAGGCGGUGUGUCACGUCGUUCGUGAAAACCUGCAGCUUAACUGUGGGCGUGCGGUCGAUACGGGCAUCACUGGAGUUCGGCAGGGGAGACUGGAAUUCCUGGUGUAGCGGUGAAAUGCGUAGAUAUCAAGAGGAACACCUGAGGUGAAGACGGGUUGCUGGGCCGACACUGACGCUGAGUGCGCGAAAGCCAGGGGAGCAAACGGG
RNAcentral lists this ribosomal RNA (255 nucleotides) under uncultured bacterium. RNAcentral describes it as "partial 16S ribosomal RNA". It matches the Rfam family "Bacterial small subunit ribosomal RNA", at positions 524 to 776 of the family's 1533-position model. The record is from RNAcentral.